UCGUCCGUCAAGAAAUACAAGCCGGUCUAUUUUUUGACAGAAGAACAUUGAGAAGAAGAGUAAGUGUAAGCUCAGUUAUGUAUACAGAGAAGAAAAAGCGCGCCAUAUCAGUAGAAUCCCCUUUUCCCUUUCUGUGUCUAUAAGGUGACUCUCAAUAAUCUACCCAUAAGCCUUCCGAGCAUGGGCAAGCAGAAGCAACAGGUUAUUUCCCGCUUCUUUGCUCCCAAACCUAAAACCAGCGAUUCAUCAACUCCAACGGUAAAAGGCCCGUCAUCAUCUUCUUCGUCUCCGACUCCGACCCCCAAAAUUUCCGCCGUCGUAUCCUUCUCCCCCGCCAAACGUAAACUCCUCUCUGCGCACCUCACCUCCACUCCCAAAAGGCCCAAACUUUCUCCUCACACUCAAAAUCCUAUUCCUACUUCUCCUAAUCGCCAUCGGAAGUUCCUGGACAAGUUUCUGGAACCCUCCCCUGAAAUUAUACAACCUUCCUAUACUCAAUCAUCAGUUUCUAAAAAGUAUACCCCAUUGGAACAGCAAGUUCUGGACUUGAAAAACAAGUACCCGGAUGUCCUUUUGAUGAUUGAAGUUGGUUAUAAAUAUCGGUUCUUCGGGGAAGAUGCGGAGAUUGCGGCGAGAGUGCUGGGGAUCUAUGCCCACAUGGAUCAUAAUUUUAUGACCGCCAGCGUACCAACUUUUCGAUUAAAUGUCCAUGUAAGAAGGUUGGUUAGUGCAGGGCAUAAGGUUGGGGUUGUUAAGCAGACUGAAACCGCCGCGAUUAAGGCUCAUGGGGAUAACAAGGCUGGCCCAUUUUGCAGAGGGUUAUCGGCAUUGUAUACUAAGGCGACAUUGGAGGCAGCCGAGGAUGUGGGUGGGAAGGAGGAGGGGUGUGGUGGAGCGAGCAAUUAUUUUUGUUGUGUCGUGGAUAAGAGCGUUUUGGUGGAGAAUGUUGAUCGUGGGUUUGAUACUAGGAUUGGGUUUGUUGCUGUUGAGAUCUCAACUGGAGAUGUUAUUUAUGGUGAGUUUAAUGAUGGUUUUUUGAGGAGUGGACUUGAGGCUGUGGUUUUGAGCUUGGCUCCGGCUGAGUUGCUCCUUGGGGAACCUCUUUCUAAACAAACAGAGAAGUUGCUGCUGGCAUACGCUGGACCUUCCUCAAACGUCCGUGUGGAGCAUGCCUCACGAAAUUGCUUCAAUAAUGGUGGUGCACUUGCUGAAGUGAUGUCUUUGUAUGAGAAUACAAGUGAAAAUAAGGCAGCAGAUGAUGGAAAACAGAUGAUAGAGGGGACAGAGCAGGGCAGUUAUUGCCUGGCUAUUGAGGGGAUUAUGAAUAUGCCAGAUUUGGCCUUGCAAGCAUUGGCCUUAACCAUCCAUCACCUAAAGCAAUUUGGAUUUGAAGGAAUUUUAUGCCUAGGAGCUUCAUUUCGGCCUUUCUCAAGCAACAUGGAGAUGAAUCUUUCAGCCAACACGCUUCAACAAUUAGAGGUUUUGAGGAAUAAUUCAAAUGGGUCUGAGUCUGGCUCAUUGCUGCAUAUCAUGAAUCAUACUCUUACUGUUUCUGGUUCCAGGUUACUAAGACACUGGGUGAGUCACCCUUUAUGUGAUAGAAACAUGAUAUCUGCUCGUCUUGAUGCUGUUUCUGAGAUUGCAGAAUCCAUGGGAUCUCAUAAAGCUUCACAAAAUAUUGGUGAGCUUGAUGAAGUAAAUUCUGAUUUAACAACUGUACAAGCAGACUUCUAUUAUUUGCUUUCCUCUGUUUUGAUAAAUUUGGGAAGAGCACCUGAUAUUCAACGUGGAAUAACAAGAAUUUUCCAUCGAACUGCCACUGCAUCUGAGUUCAUUGCAGUUAUUCAAGCCAUAUUAAAUGCUAGUAAACAACUUCAGUCUCUUCCCAUUGAAGAAGAGCACAGAAAUGAGAGAAUUCAAGCAAAGAUUGUGCGCUCAGUUUUAUUGAAGAAAUUGAUUUUGACUGUGUCAUCAUCUAGUGUAGUUGGCAAUGCUGCAAAACUUUUAUCCGUCCUAAACAAAGAGGCAGCUGAAUGUGGGGAUAUAGCAAACUUAAUUGUCAUUUCUAAUGGUCAAUUUCCAGAGGUCGCAAGCUCAAGGAAAGCGGUUCAAUCUGCAAAGGAGAAAUUGGAUUCUUUAAUCAGUUUGUAUCGCAUGCAGCUUAAAAAGCACAAUUUGGAAUUUAUGAGUGUAUCUGGAACCACACAUUUGAUUGAGUUGCCCAUAGAUGUCAAAGUACCAUUGAACUGGGUGAAGGUAAACAGUACUAAGAAGACAAUCCGCUAUCACCCACCUGAAGUAUUGGCUGCCUUAGACCAGUUAUCGCUGGCUAAUGAGGAGCUCAUGGUUGUUUGCCGAGUUGCGUGGGAUAGGUUUUUAAGGGACUUUGGUAAAUAUUAUGCCGAGUUCCAAGCUGCUGUUCAAGCACUUGCUGCAUUGGAUUGUUUGCAUUCACUUGCCAGUCUUUCCAAAAAUAAGAAUUAUGUUCGUCCAGUUUUCGUGGAUGACAAUGAACCUGCUCAGAUACAUAUAUCCUCUGGUCGUCACCCGGUUUUGGAGACCAUGUUAGAAGACAAUUUUGUCCCAAAUGAUACACAUUUACAUGCAGAUGGAGAGUUUUGUCAGAUUGUCACUGGACCCAACAUGGGGGGAAAGAGUUGCUACAUCCGCCAAGUUGCUCUCAUUGCUUUGAUGGCUCAGGUUGGUUCCUUUGUACCAGCAUCAUCAGCAAAACUGCAUGUACUAGAUGGUAUAUACACUAGAAUGGGAGCUUCUGACAGUAUCCAACAAGGGAGAAGUACCUUUUUAGAAGAGUUGAGUGAGGCUUCUAAUAUACUCCACAAAUGCACGGCAAAUUCACUCGUUAUCAUUGAUGAGCUAGGUAGAGGCACAAGUACACAUGAUGGUGAAGCUAUUGCUUAUGCUACAUUACACCAUCUGUUGGAACAGAAAAAAUGCUUGGUCCUUUUUGUAACGCACUAUACUAAAAUUGCUGAGAUAAAAAAUGAAUUCCCCAGUUCUGUGGGGGCUUAUCAUGUUUCAUAUCUUACAUCGGAGAAAAAUUUGGGUGUCACGGGCUCAAAAUUUGACAAUGAAGAUGUCACUUACCUUUAUAAACUGGUGCCUGGAGUGUCAGGGAGGAGUUUCGGGUUUAAGGUCGCUCAGCUGGCACAGUUACCUUCAUCAUGUAUUAGACGGGCAUCUGUCAUGGCUGCAAGGCUGGAAAUGGUGGUAAGCCACAGAAUGGAAGACAAAUUAGUUAGAAGGCAGUUGCUAGAAACACCGACAAGUGAUCAACAACAAGAAACAUGGGAGAAAACUUCAGAAUCUCCUGAUUGCUUUCAUUCAGGAAAGAUAGAGAAAUACGAAGAAUUAGAUAAUGAUUAUCAGAAGCUCUUUCUGAACUUGAAAUUUGCAAUGCUUGAUGGAGACUCUGCUAAAAGCUUCCAGUACUUGGAGAAUGCUAGAAACAUAGCAAAGGCAUUAAUAAUUAGGUAAAGUUGAGUUUCUUUCACUCCUUUCAAGUAAACAUUUCUGCCGAAAGCUAUCAGGUGCAAGGGCAUGGUUCUUCCAAAUAUAAAAAUGCAAGUCCUCAAGAUGAGACAGCAUGACGAUGGGUAAAGAGUCUGAAACGCCGAGUCCUCAGUUAUGGAGCGAUGGAUAGAGCGUUGAGCUUUCAGCGUUCCAAAGGCUGACUCGCUCUUUAUUUAUGUAGGAUUCUUGUAUCAGAAUUUUGUCUAUAAAGAAUUAGAAAAUCUAUCACAUUGAUAAUUUAUGGACCUCCAAUCCAUUGAACUUUAAUCUGUAUAUUUUGUCAUGCAAUUAGAGAGCCUUUAAUAUUUAUUAGUGUUAA
This is a non-coding RNA of Jatropha curcas, 3853 nucleotides long. NCBI's taxonomy places the organism in Eukaryota, Viridiplantae, Streptophyta, Magnoliopsida, Malpighiales, Euphorbiaceae. The record is from RefSeq and is a predicted model, not a curated record.